GUGGGGAAUUUUGGACAAUGGGCGCAAGCCUGAUCUAGCCAUGCCGCGUGAGCGAUGAAGGCCUUAGGGUUGUAAAGCUCUUUCGUGGGGGAAGAUAAUGACUGUACCCCAAGAAGAAGCCCCGGCUAACUCCGUGCCAGCAGCCGCGGUAAUACGGAGGGGGCUAGCGUUGUUCGGAAUUACUGGGCGUAAAGCGCACGUAGGCGGACUGGAAAGUCAGGGGUGAAAUCCCGGGGCUCAACCCCGGAACUGCCUUUGAAACUCCCAGUCUUGAGUUCGAGAGAGGUGAGUGGAAUUCCGAGUGUAGAGGUGAAAUUCGUAGAUAUUCGGAGGAACACCAGUGGCGAAGGCGGCUCACUGACUCGAUACUGACGCUGAGGUGCGAAAGCGUGGGGAGCAAACAGGAUUAGAUACCCGUGUAGUCC
RNAcentral lists this ribosomal RNA (425 nucleotides) under uncultured bacterium. RNAcentral's name for it is "partial 16S ribosomal RNA". It matches the Rfam family "Bacterial small subunit ribosomal RNA", at positions 354 to 796 of the family's 1533-position model. The record is from RNAcentral.